AGUGAACGCUGGCGGUAGGCCUAACACAUGCAAGUCGAACGGCAGCACAGGAGAGCUUGCUCUCUGGGUGGCGAGUGGCGGGCGGGUGAGGAAUACAUCGGAAUCUACUCUGUCGUGGGGGAUAACGUAGGGAAACUUACGCUAAUACCGCAUACGACCUACGGGUGAAAGCAGGGGACCUUCGGGCCUUGCGCGAUUGAAUGAGCCGAUGUCGGAUUAGCUAGUUGGCGGGGUAAAGGCCCACCAGGGCGACGAUCCGUAGCUGGUCUGAGGGGAUGAGCGGCCAGACUGGAACUGAGACACGGCCCAGACUCCUACGGGGGGAAGAUGUGGGGAAUAUGGGAAAGGGGGCGCAAGCCUGAUCGAGCCAUACCGGGGGGGUGAAGAAGGCCUUCGGGUUGUAAGGCCCUUUUGUUGGGAAAGAAAUCCAUCUGGUUAAUCCCCGGAGGGGAUGACGGUACCCAAAGAAUAAGCACCGGCAAAUUUCGUGCCAGCCCCCGCUGUAA
This 506-nucleotide ribosomal RNA is filed under the name uncultured bacterium. RNAcentral's name for it is "partial 16S ribosomal RNA". It matches the Rfam family "Bacterial small subunit ribosomal RNA", at positions 30 to 523 of the family's 1533-position model. The record is from RNAcentral.